This 253-nucleotide ribosomal RNA is filed under the name uncultured bacterium. RNAcentral's name for it is "partial 16S ribosomal RNA". It matches the Rfam family "Bacterial small subunit ribosomal RNA", at positions 524 to 776 of the family's 1533-position model. The record is from RNAcentral.
UACGAAAGGUGCAAGCGUUAAUCGGAAUUACUGGGCGUAAAGCGUACGUAGGCGGUUGAUUAAGCAGGAUGUGAAAGCCCCGAGCUCAACUUGGGAACUGCAUCCUGAACUGGUCAACUAGAGUACAGCAGAGGAGAGUGGAAUUUCUCGUGUAGCGGUGAAAUGCGUAGAUAUGAGAAGGAACACCAGUGGCGAAGGCGACUCUCUGGGUUGAUACUGACGCUGAGGUACGAAAGCGUGGGGAGCAAACAGG